This 405-nucleotide ribosomal RNA is filed under the name uncultured organism. Its description in RNAcentral is "bacterial SSU rRNA". It matches the Rfam family "Bacterial small subunit ribosomal RNA", at positions 45 to 433 of the family's 1533-position model. The record is from RNAcentral.
UGCCUAACACAUGCAAGUCGAGCGAGAAAGUCCCCGCAAGGGGAUGAGUAAAGCGGCGAGCGGGUGAGUAACACGUGGGCAACCUGCCCCUCAGUCAGGAAUAACCCCGCGAAAGCGGGGCUAAUGCCCGAUGACACCCCCUGGAGGCAUCUUCGGGGGAUCAAAGGGGGCGAGCGCAAGCAGCUCUCGCUGAGGGAUGGGCCUGCGGCUGAUUAGCUAGUUGGUGGGGUAACGGCCUACCAAGGCAACGAUCAGUAGCCGACCUGAGAGGGUGACCGGCCACACUGGGACUGAGACACGGCCCAGACUCCUACGGGAGGCAGCAGUGGGGAAAAUUGCGCAAUGGGCGAAAGCCUGACGCAGCGACGCCGCGUGGGUGAUGAAGGCCUUCGGGUCGUAAAACCC